RNAcentral lists this ribosomal RNA (255 nucleotides) under Clostridium botulinum. RNAcentral's name for it is "partial 23S ribosomal RNA". It matches the Rfam family "Bacterial large subunit ribosomal RNA", at positions 258 to 515 of the family's 2925-position model. The record is from RNAcentral. Lineage: Bacteria; Bacillati; Bacillota; Clostridia; Eubacteriales; Clostridiaceae.
AGGGAAAGAGCCCAAACCAAAGAUUUAUCUUUGGGGUUGCGGACAGAACAUUAACGAGAAAUUAUGGUUAACCGAACACAACUGGAAAGUUGGACCGUAGGGGGUAAUAGUCCUGUAGGUGAAAAUUAUAAUGAUCAAGUUCUGAUCCAGAGUACCACGAGACACGUGAAACCUUGUGGGAAGCAGGGAGGACCACCUCCCAAGGCUAAAUACUACCUGAUGACCGAUAGUGAAGCAGUACCGUGAGGGAAAGGU